This 131-nucleotide ribosomal RNA is filed under the name uncultured bacterium. RNAcentral's name for it is "partial 16S ribosomal RNA". It matches the Rfam family "Bacterial small subunit ribosomal RNA", at positions 356 to 504 of the family's 1533-position model. The record is from RNAcentral.
GGGGAAUAUUGGACAAUGGGGGAAACCCUGAUCCAGCGACGCCGCGUGAGUGAAGAAGUAUCUCGGUACGUAAAGCUCUAUCAGCAGGAAAGAAAAUGACGGUACCUGACUAAGAAGCCCCGGCUAACUAC